Molecule: non-coding RNA, 597 nt
Organism: Cyprinodon tularosa
Lineage: Eukaryota; Metazoa; Chordata; Actinopteri; Cyprinodontiformes; Cyprinodontidae
Source: the annotation of a RefSeq genome assembly
AUGGGUCAGCUGCAGGGUCGUCAGCCAGGAACCACCAUUCACCAACGUUUCGCCCCUUUAAUCCUGGAACGUCUCCUGGUGGUUCUGUCCUUCCUAUGCAGCCAGAGCCAAAAGCUCCCUUUCUCCGCCUCCUCAGUUGGUUCCUUUGUUGCCUUCCUCAGCCUUCCUCCCGUGACUCCCACGUCUUUCAGGAGGCGUAUGGUCGACAACCCUGUGAAGUUUGUAUCACUGUGGUACACGUUCGGUGGAGGAACCAGACUGGAUGUUAACCUGGGUAAUGUUCGCCCCACCGUGACAGUGCUGCCCCCCUCCAGUGAGGAUCUGCAGCAGGGGAAGGCCACCCUCAUGUGUCUGGCCAACAAGGGCUUCCCCUCAGACUGGAGUCUGUCCUGGAAGGUGGAGGGCAGCAUUAACACCUUCACCUGGGAGGAGAAUAAGAGCAGAGGAGUUAUGCAGAAGGACGGCUUCUACACCUGGAGCAGCACCCUGAGGCUCCCUGCAGACCAGUGGAGGAAGGUGGGCUCUGUGACCUGUGAGGCCACCCAGGGCUCCGAGUCUGCAGUCACAGAGACACUGAGGAGAGACCAAUGCUCCUAG